This 430-nucleotide ribosomal RNA is filed under the name uncultured bacterium. Its description in RNAcentral is "bacterial SSU rRNA". It matches the Rfam family "Bacterial small subunit ribosomal RNA", at positions 355 to 776 of the family's 1533-position model. The record is from RNAcentral.
UGGGGAAUCUUGCGCAAUGGGCGAAAGCCUGACGCAGCGACGCCGUGUGAGCGAUGAAGGUCUUCGGAUCGUAAAGCUCUGUCGGCAGGGACGAAAUGUUCGUUGACAAAUAAUCAACGGGCUUGACGGUACCUGCAAAGGAAGCACCGGCUAACUCUGUGCCAGCAGCCGCGGUAAGACAGAGGGUGCAAGCGUUGUUCGGAAUUACUGGGCGUAAAGGGCGCGUAGGCGGUUAAGUAAGUCGAGUGUGAAAGCCCAGGGCCUAACCCUGGAAGGGCGCUCGAUACUACCUAGCUAGAGUCCCGGAGAGGAUGGUGGAAUUCCCAGUGUAGAGGUGAAAUUCGUAGAUAUUGGGAGGAACACCAGUGGCGAAGGCGGCCAUCUGGACGGUGACUGACGCUGAGGCGCGAAAGCGUGGGGAGCAAACAGG